AGGUGGGGACAUGAUUGAGGUGUAUAAAAUUGUGCAUGUGAUGUGGAAAAAGUGGAUAGAGAGAAGAUUUCCUGUCAUAAUACUAGAACUUAGGGUCAUCCAAUGAAGCUGAAUGCUGGAAGAUUGAAGACGGACAAUAGGAGGGAAGACUACGUGGGACAGUUCCAUGCUGCAAAUACACUGGCCAUUGGCAUCCUUUACUCCUACUACUUUCUGGAUGUGGCCUCCAUCGACUAUGACCUGAUUAUUAACACCUAAGUAGUGCAUAAUGUAUCACAUCUCUGAAGGAACAUCUGCUCCCAUAUCAGCUUGCUUGGAUACGAAGGUCACCUGCUGAGACCUUCUUCCAUAUGCCCUGCCCUGCCCUGCCCUCUGAGAUGAGAUAGGUGACAAUCAUAGAGAGGGCAUUAUCAGUUGUGGAGCCCCAUCUGUGGAACUCUUUCCUCAAGGAAAUGCACCAGAGAUCAAUCUUGCUACGAUUUAGGUGCUAGAUAAAAUGAGAGUUUGUUUUUAAGUAUUUUAAAUACUUGUUAUUGAAGUAAUUUCCAGCCAGCUGGUUUUAGCCAUGUUUGUUCUUGUACAGCACAGUCCUAUGCAUGUCUACUCAGAAGCAAGUUCUAUAAAGUAUAAAGUUCAAUGGCACUUAUUCCAGGUAAGCAUGCAUAGUAGGGAACCUUUGACCCUCUAGAUGUUGCUGAACUAUAACUCCCACCAUCCCAGGCAAUUAGCAAUGCAUGCUGGGGCUGAUGGGAGUUGUACAACAUCUGGAGAGCCGAAGGUUCUCCACGCUUAAUUUAUAAGAUUACAGAUUAAGUCCCGUGAUUGUUUGAUUUAACUAUUUAAAUAAUUGUAAACUAUUGCGAGAGCUCCACAGAAGUAUGAUUUUGUUUUCAAAUAUAUACCUGAAAAAAUCUCUCAGCAUAUGCUGAUCCUUUCUGUACCCUUUCAUUUAACUAAACCAAAUUACUUGCUAGACUUUUUAUAGAGCUAUUUUGUUAAUC
This is a long non-coding RNA of Rhineura floridana, 1001 nucleotides long. RefSeq lists it as uncharacterized. Lineage: Eukaryota; Metazoa; Chordata; Lepidosauria; Squamata; Rhineuridae. The record is from RefSeq and is a predicted model, not a curated record. The transcript has 3 exons.